RNAcentral lists this ribosomal RNA (430 nucleotides) under uncultured bacterium. Its description in RNAcentral is "bacterial SSU rRNA". It matches the Rfam family "Bacterial small subunit ribosomal RNA", at positions 355 to 776 of the family's 1533-position model. The record is from RNAcentral.
UGGGGAAUAUUGCGCAAUGGGCGAAAGCCUGACGCAGCGACGCCGCGUGGAGGAUGAAGGUCCUAGGAUUGUAAACUCCUGUCAGAUGGGAAGAAAAGAUUUAUUUUUAAUAGAGAUAGAUUAUGACGGUACCAUCAGAGGAAGCACCGGCUAACUUCGUGCCAGCAGCCGCGGUAAUACGAAGGGUGCGAGCGUUAUUCGGAAUCACUGGGCGUAAAGAGUGCGUAGACGGUCCAUUAAGUUUGUUGUUAAAGACUCUAGCCUAACUGGAGGGUUGCAAUGAAAACUGGUGAGCUGGAGGGUGAGAGAGAGAAGUGGAAUUCCCGGAGUAGCGGUAAAAUGCGUGGAUCUCGGGAGGAACACCAAUGGCGAAGGCAGCUUCUUGGCUCAUUCCUGACGUUGAGGCACGAAAGCGUGGGGAGCAAACAGG